Molecule: transfer RNA, 76 nt
Filed under: Marinigracilibium pacificum
Lineage: Bacteria; Pseudomonadati; Bacteroidota; Cytophagia; Cytophagales; Flammeovirgaceae
Description: Flammeovirgaceae bacterium KN852 tRNA-His
Rfam family: tRNA
About the family: Transfer RNA (tRNA) molecules are approximately 80 nucleotides in length. Their secondary structure includes four short double-helical elements and three loops (D, anti-codon, and T loops).
Source: RNAcentral
GGUGAUUGUAGCUCAGUUGGUUAGAGCGCUAGUUUGUGGCACUAGAGGCCGCCGGUUCGAAUCCGGUCUUUCACCC